AGUGGAAAAAGGAAAAUGGCGUGGCUUAGUUGGGAGAAGAUGAGACUUCCGAAAGCCAUGGGCGGCAUGGGCUUCAGAGAUAUGAGAGCUUUCAACCAGGCUCUUCUUGCUAAACAAGCUUGGAGGCUUAUUGAAACACCUGAUAGUUUGUGUGCUAGACUGCUGAAAGCCAAGUACUUCGUUGCGGGCCAUCUUCUUGAUACAGUAUUCACAGGUAAUGGCUCGGCGGUGUGGAAGGGAAUUUUGCAUGGG
Molecule: ribosomal RNA, 252 nt
Filed under: Triticum aestivum (bread wheat)
Lineage: Eukaryota; Viridiplantae; Streptophyta; Magnoliopsida; Poales; Poaceae
Description: partial small subunit ribosomal RNA
Source: RNAcentral